RNAcentral lists this signal recognition particle RNA (95 nucleotides) under Myxococcota bacterium. RNAcentral describes it as "signal recognition particle sRNA small type". It matches the Rfam family "Bacterial small signal recognition particle RNA". From Rfam's summary of the family: The signal recognition particle (SRP) is a universally conserved ribonucleoprotein involved in the co-translational targeting of proteins to membranes. Archaeal SRP consists of a 7S RNA and homologues of the eukaryotic SRP19 and SRP54 proteins. The record is from RNAcentral. Lineage: Bacteria; Pseudomonadati; Myxococcota.
CUGCCGGGACGGGGCGGCGCAAGGGUGCCCAACCCCGCCAGGUCCGGAAGGAAGCAACGGUCAGCAUCGUUGCGGGUGUCCCGUCCCGGCAUCCC